GCCCUAGUAACGGCGAGUGAAGCGGCAACAGCUCAAAUUUGAAAUCUGGCCCUCGGGUCCGAAUUGUAAUUUGUAGAGGAUGCUUUUGGUGCGGUGCCUUCCGAGUUCCCUGGAACGGGACGCCAGAGAGGGUGAGAGCCCCGUACGGUUGGACACCUACCCUAUAUAUAGCUCCUUCGACGAGUCGAGUAGUUUGGGAAUGCUGCUCUAAAUGGGAGGUAAAUUUCUUCUAAAGCUAAAUACCGGCCAGAGACCGAUAGCGCACAAGUAGAGUGAUCGAAAGAUGAAAAGCACUUUGAAAAGAGGGUUAAAUAGCACGUGAAAUUGUUGAAAGGGAAGCGUUUGUGACCAGACUUUUUCUCAGUGGAUCAUCCGGUGUUCUCACCGGUGCACUUCACUGGGUUUAGGCCAGCAUCGGUUUCCGGAGGGGGACAAAAGCCUGGGGAAUGUGGCUCUUUCGGGAGUGUUAUAGCCCCUAGCAUAAUACCUCUCCUGGGGACCGAGGACCGCGCUUCGGCAAGGAUGCUGGCGUAAUGGUUAUCAACGACCCGUCUUGAAACACGGACCAAGGAGUCGAACAUUUGUGCGAGUGUUUGGGUAUCAAACCCUCACGCGUAAUGAAAGUGAACGGAGGUGAGAGCCCUUCGGGGUGCAUCAUCGACCGAUCCUGAUGUCUUCGGAUGGAUUUGAGUAAGAGCAUAACUGUUCGGACCCGAAAGAUGGUGAACUAUGCGUGGAUAGGGUGAAGCCAGAGGAAACUCUGGUGGAGGCUCGCAGCGGUUCUGACGUGCAAAUCGAUCGUCAAAUCUGCGCAUGGGGGCGAAAGAC
RNAcentral lists this ribosomal RNA (828 nucleotides) under Hypoxylon perforatum. Its description in RNAcentral is "partial large subunit ribosomal RNA". It matches the Rfam family "Eukaryotic large subunit ribosomal RNA", at positions 77 to 931 of the family's 3401-position model. The record is from RNAcentral. Lineage: Eukaryota; Fungi; Ascomycota; Sordariomycetes; Xylariales; Hypoxylaceae.